This 5037-nucleotide long non-coding RNA is filed under the name Heterocephalus glaber (naked mole-rat). RNAcentral describes it as "lncRNA (ENSHGLG00000049411.1)". The record is from RNAcentral. Lineage: Eukaryota; Metazoa; Chordata; Mammalia; Rodentia; Bathyergidae.
GUACAGAAUUCCACAUCCACAUUUUUUCCCAAAAAGAGAAAAGAAAUACCCAAAGUCAUAAACAUGACUCCCUGUUCACAUCUCUUUCUCUCUGUAGUGAAAACUGACAGUGUAACAGCCAAGAGUGGUGGAGCAUGCCUGGAAUCAGCACUCUAGGAGGCCGAGGUGAAAGGAUCUCAAGUUCAAACCCAACAUGGGCAAUUCAGCAAGACCCUAUCUCCAAAAGAAGAAUGAAAAGAGCCAGGGACGUGGCUCAGUGCAAGGCCCUGGGUUCAAUCCCCAGCUCCACGGCAUUAAGGUGGCAUGGACCUCCUGGCUUUAGGGUGGGGAUUAAAGACAAUAAAGCAUUCGACUCACUGAAGACGCUGCCUAUCACCUAGGGAUGACAGAGGAUAGUCCACGCUUCUGUAAUUAUUGCUCUACCACGCCAGGGCUGCCAUGGGUGCAGGAGUUGGCAUGUGACCAAGAGCCCACAUUCUGGGGACAAGAGAGAGGCCCACGUUUAGAAGGACAGGAAGCCCUGCCCGACACGAGGGCGAGGGUGUUUAACACUUUCGUUCACCUUUUACAAAGCUGACUUGUUCAACGCAUGGUGGCACACACUAUAAUUCCAACAGUCUGGGAAGCUAAGGCCUGAAGAUCACAAGUUUGAAGCCAAGCUGGGCAACUUAGUGACUUCAGGAGACUACCUCAAUAUAAAAAAUAAAAAGGGCUGGGUAUGUACCUCACUGUGAAAGCUCUGGUUUCAAUCCUCAGCACUGAAAAAGAAAAGGAAAGAAAAGAAAAGAGACUAACUUUCUUUUAUGGGAACAAAAUGGUAAAUUUGUAUAAGUUGGUAAAAACAAUAAUCUUCAGCAUCCUAAAAUUUAGAAAGAGUUACAUGAAUUUACAAGAAGCAUGCAUGUGUAUUUAUAGACUCAAAAUACAUCAAAUAUAUUUAUUUGUAGACACUGUUAGAUAGAAUGAUGGAGUAUGCAGUGACUUGGGCUGAUGUUCCAGCCACCACACUGCUGGCGGGACCUUCAAAAAAAUCAGGAGAGAACAAGACAUUAGUCAGAUCCUCAAAUAGACCAAUUUUGGCUGCCUGAUAAGAAAAUCUCUCUGCUUUAACCUUUACAAAGGAAAGUAAUUUUGAAAUGGCUAGUCACUUUUGUGCUUUGUUUCUGUUUUCUUCAGUCCUUCUUUGCAUAUAAAGUUGUUACAACUUGGAUCUAAAAUGACCUCAAGGAUCUCACAUGUGUCCAAGGUGACUGGAUCCUGGGGCGCUGUGCUCCUCAGUGGCUCCAUCACGGGUAGUGAUUCUACAGCCAAAACCUGAAGGAGCCAGGUACGGUGGAGUCUGCGGAAAUGUGUCCUGUUCACUCCUGCACCGGGGCAUGAGUAAUCAUGCAGGGAAGGCACUUAUUUUCUCUCUGCACCAACUUCUAUAAAGUAUGCAUCAAAGUGCUGCACUGAGGACAAAUCAGGCAACAUAUUUGAACUAUAAAAGCAUAUUGUGGGGAUUGAGGAUUUACUAAAUCUGUAAGUGCAAUCAGUUUCUGAACUACUUGUGGUUAAAGACACUAACCUGGUGUGCAUCUGAGUCUGGUGACACCGUGUUGCUGGGCUCGUACUGAUGUUAAAGGGCUUGGUUUUGGAUGAGGUGCCCCUUGGUGACCUUGGUGUGCUCUGCUUGCAUGCAGGCGUAAGUAGCCCUUUGUGCCUGCCCAAACUCACUCUGUGUGGGCUGGGACCUCUUGGGGUGACCUUGGCAGCAUGGCCCAUCCACACUGCGGGAGCUGUGUGUUGUGGCUUCGAAGGAUGCAGCAAAAGGAGCCCCCACGUCUCCUGCCCACUUCCCAAGGGGCUUUCCCUCCCGAGACUCUGGUCCAGAUGUGUUCUGCAGCUGGAAGGACACACAUGGCCCACACAUAGAUGCUCUUGGCCUAAGAAACAGUAUUUCAAACUGGUGUUUGCCUUUGCUCCUUUCCUCUCUGCAGAGAAUGUCCUGAAGGAUUCCAGGGAGUGCUAAUGACGUCUCUUCCCUUCCUCCUGUCCAGCUUUCUUGGCCCAUGCAUAGCAGCCCCUGGCUCUUCCCUGCUGUUUGUGCAGCCUGGAUUUCCAGAGUAGAAACCUCACCUCAUCCCCUCCCCAUUUCUUGUGGUCUUGCAGAUUGAACCCAGGGCCUUCACACUGAGCUGCAUCCCCAGCCCUUUUUAGCUUCUAUUUUGAGACAGGAUCUUGCUAAGGUGCUAAGUUGCCGGGACUGUGUUUGAUCUUACAGUUCUCCUGCCUCAGCCUCCCACAGUGCUGGGAUGGCAGGCGUGCGCCACCACCUGGACCCAGCUGUUCUCCAGCGAUUACACUACUGCUGUCCCCUGAGCAAAGAGAACCAUGAAGAACCUCACAGGAGGUUCGCCACGGACAAACACAGCCAAGGCGGGACAGCUCUGCCUUCCCUCAUCCAGGGCUACUUCUGCCCCAGCCCCAGGAUGCAGGGACCUUCUCCAUCAUGCCAGGCUUCACACUGCCUCCACAUGGGUCAAGGCCAGGUGCUGUGUGGGAAGCAUCUGACCUCUGCUUCUCCUUGGGGCCACACCUUCUGUGACUCUCCAGGUCAUUGUCCAUUGCCAUAUGUAGCAGAGCUGGGAUUUGAAAGGCGCAUCAGGAGAGUCUGUGUCCAUGAACCCCAAACCACGCCACCUUCCUGGGAACUACAUUGUGUCAAUCAAGGUUUCACUGGCAGGCAGUGUAGUGGGGCACAGUGGGGAAAUUACCUUUCUGGCAUUGCCAAGUGGGUGACAUAUAAGACCAUGCAGCAUGGAACCAGAAGUGCAACUAUAGGACACAGAAACCAAGAACAGAGUGUGUACUUAAUUAGAUCACACGUGGUGCUAGGGUUUAGGUCUAGAAUCCCUCCCAAAAAGCUCCUGUGUUCAGAGCUGGAGCUUUUAGAAGGUGACAGAUCAUGGUUGCUGUGUUCAUCAGUGGAUCCAUCAUGGAUGCGUUCACAACUGAAUGUGCUGUAAGAGGUGGCCCUGGUUGGAGGAGGUCACUGGGGUGAGACCUGGAAAGGUGCAUUCCUGUCCCCAGCUCCUCCCUUCUCCUUGCUUCCAGGCCAUCACAAACUAAGCUAUUUCUGCCUUGGAGCGCUGACCAUGGACUGAUUCCUCAAUAUACUGUGAGCCAAAAUAAACUUCUCUUCGAUAAACUGUGGGUAUCUCUUCUCCCAGCGAUGAGAUCAACCCUAACCAGUUCUCAGGCUCUACAUGGUGAUGGGAAGGAGCUGCUGUCUCCAGGUGUAUUUCUUGGGGACACUGAUGAUGGAUUUCUGUGUUUUGCCAUCUGUAAUUGCUUCCCGUGGCAUGGGUCUGAGCCCUAAGAGUUCCCUGACUUCCACUUCCCACACUUCCAAAAGGGCAUCACACUCACUGUAUGGCUCAGGAAACUGGUUUACAAUCCUCUGUUUGCCACUAAUGAAGCUCUCUGGACAAGUUAUGUAAUCUCACUAACAUUCAGCUCCAUGUACACAACAGGCUACUCAGGGUAGCCCUAAGGUGACACUGAGAGGACUCUGAAGAGCAGCCCAUGUAGGAAGUUCAGCCAGCUCCUGCCAUUAGCACCAUGCCCAGUGGACAUUCACCGUCAUCUUGAAGGAUGAUUAAUGCUUUGUCAUUAUUUUCUCACCAAAACCUUUUUUAACAGGAAAAAAAGAAAAUUCCUGAGUAAAGCAAUCUCCUCAUUAAGACCUUACAUGUGCUGUGUGGACCGUAAAAGACCACACUGCCCUGCUUGAGAGUCAGCAAGGCUCUGGGUGGACCAUCCCACACCAGGCCACUGUCCCGAGGAGAAGCCACCCCAGCACCUCUCCACAUAGCCGUUGUUCACCUUAAGAGGUCUUUCCCACUGUUCUUCCAGUGGGAAAGUACGGCCCAAGCUUCAGGACCUGACAAGAGAGGUUAUUAUUGUCCUCAUCAUGGUACAAAUGACCAGACUCCAGUUAGCCCAAACUUGUUCCAAGGGUCAGACUUCACAAGUGACUUUCACAGGGCACUCACUUUACCCGUACUCUGCAGGAGUCUGAGUGAUCCUCUCUCGUCAGGGCUGUGACAUCAUUGCAAAUGUACAAGCGCUGGCCUGAGGCUUAAUGCAUUGCAGCCAUCCUGCAUUCUUAACUUAGGCUGGGGCUGCGGUUCCUCUGCCUAAAACAACACAGUCACGGGCCACAUGAAAGCAAUUUUCCCACCAGCACCUUCUUCUUAUUUUCCAGGCUCUCAGAGAACAGCCACCUCUCUCACCUUGCAGCCACCUCAGAUUGGAGCAUGGGACACAGCUGUCUGUGUGGCCCUUGGGGAAAAGAUGUGGCCCCUAGACUACUCACAGGACUGGGGGCCUCAGUGAACGCAGAGGGCAUCACAUGUGCCAGUGUGGCUGGGACUGGAUGCUCUAGACAUGCAGCCAACGGACACUGAGCUCCCACCAAGGGCCAGGGAAGCCCCUGAAGUGAGCCCAAGUAGGAGGACAAACGGAUCGGAUUUCUCUCCCGAAAGAUGACAAGCCACAUGGAGAACAAGCUGGUGGGAGAGAGAGAGCAAUCUUGAAUAUCAGGCUCAGUUGUCACGUAAGAGGGUGAAACCGUGCGAGAUGGGUUGUAAUGUUGGACCCACGCUGGCCCAUGGAUCCCGGUGAGAUGAAAAAUGUAAAGGGAGGAAUCUUAAUGUCAGUGGCACAGCCAGGACAUCACAACAGCUGGAAAUCAACACUAGCGGGGUCCCGGGCAGGCGGGGUGCAGGCGCCCUGUGACCUGUGUCUACCCUGUCCCUCUCCUGAGCAUUCUGGAAAUCUUUCCUGAGCCUAGGGAAAUUUUCAUUUGAUGAAUUAAUAAAAAGUACAUGCAUCUAGAAAAGACUUGGAUUUUUGAUCUUGGAGUUCUAUUUUUAAUAAUCAUGACUAAUGGUUGGUUUGUUUUUGAAGGAAGCCAUGCUUCAGUUUUCUUCAUUAAAAUUCUGCUUUUUCCUCUUUUUCCCCUUCUUAUCUCACUACCUCACCUGCAGUUCC